RNAcentral lists this ribosomal RNA (253 nucleotides) under uncultured bacterium. RNAcentral describes it as "partial 16S ribosomal RNA". It matches the Rfam family "Bacterial small subunit ribosomal RNA", at positions 524 to 776 of the family's 1533-position model. The record is from RNAcentral.
UACAGAGGUCUCAAGCGUUGUUCGGAUUCAUUGGGCGUAAAGGGUGUGUAGGUGGCGCCGUAAGUCGGGUGUGAAAUUUCGGAGCUUAACUCCGAAACUGCAUUCGAUACUGCGGUGCUUGAGGACUGGAGAGGAGACUGGAAUUCAUGGUGUAGCAGUGAAAUGCGUAGAGAUCAUUAGGAAGACCAGUGGCGAAGGCGGGUCUCUGGACAGUUCCUGACACUGAGACACGAAGGCCAGGGGAGCAAACGGG